UACGGAGGAUCCGAGCGUUAUCCGGAUUUAUUGGGUUUAAAGGGUGCGUAGGCGGCCUUUUAAGUCAGCGGUGAAAGUCUGUGGCUCAACCAUAGAAUUGCCGUUGAAACUGGCAGGCUGGAGUGCCGGAGAGGCAGGCGGAAUUCCUAGUGUAGCGGUGAAAUGCGUAGAUAUUAGGAGGAACACCAGUGGCGAAGGCGGCCUGCUGGACGGUGACUGACGCUGAGGCUCGAAAGCGUGGAGAGCAAACAGG
RNAcentral lists this ribosomal RNA (253 nucleotides) under uncultured bacterium. RNAcentral's name for it is "partial 16S ribosomal RNA". It matches the Rfam family "Bacterial small subunit ribosomal RNA", at positions 524 to 776 of the family's 1533-position model. The record is from RNAcentral.